UCUUUCGCCUUUUACUAAAGAUUUCCGUGGAGAGAAACAACUAUGAGUUCUAUCAAUUUUUCUGGUGCCCUGUUUAUUCGGGGCU
This 85-nucleotide small nuclear RNA is filed under the name Scleropages formosus (Asian bonytongue). RNAcentral describes it as "U5 spliceosomal RNA". It matches the Rfam family "U5 spliceosomal RNA", at positions 31 to 117 of the family's 117-position model. Rfam says of the family: U5 RNA is a component of both types of known spliceosome. The precise function of this molecule is unknown, though it is known that the 5' loop is required for splice site selection and p220 binding, and that both the 3' stem-loop and the Sm site are important for Sm protein binding and cap methylation. Lineage: Eukaryota; Metazoa; Chordata; Actinopteri; Osteoglossiformes; Osteoglossidae. The record is from Rfam by way of RNAcentral.